RNAcentral lists this ribosomal RNA (460 nucleotides) under uncultured Methylomirabilota bacterium. Its description in RNAcentral is "bacterial SSU rRNA". It matches the Rfam family "Bacterial small subunit ribosomal RNA", at positions 977 to 1434 of the family's 1533-position model. Lineage: Bacteria; Methylomirabilota (SeqCode). The record is from RNAcentral.
GGGCUUGACAUCCCACGAAUCCCGCCGAAAGGCGGGGGUGCCCGCAAGGGAGCGCGGAGACAGGUGGUGCAUGGCUGUCGUCAGCUCGUGUCGUGAGAUGUUGGGUUAAGUCCCGCAACGAGCGCAACCCUCACCCCUUGUUGCCAUCAGGUCAGGCUGGGCACUCUAGGGGAACUGCCCCGGUCAACGGGGAGGAAGGUGGGGACGACGUCAAGUCAUCAUGCCCCUUACGUCCUGGGCUACACACGUGCUACAAUGGCCGGUACAAAGGGAUGCAAGACCGCGAGGUUGAGCUAAACCCAAAAAGCCGGUCUAAGUUCAGAUUGGAGUCUGCAACUCGACUCCAUGAAGGAGGAAUCGCUAGUAAUCGCGCAUCAGCACGGCGCGGUGAAUACGUUCCCGGGCCUUGUACACACCGCCCGUCACACCACGAAAGCCCGUUGUACUCGAAGUCGCUGAG